RNAcentral lists this ribosomal RNA (341 nucleotides) under Colletotrichum sublineola. RNAcentral describes it as "eukaryotic LSU rRNA". The stretch from base 1 to 122 matches the Rfam family "5.8S ribosomal RNA", at positions 33 to 154 of the family's 154-position model. The record is from RNAcentral. Lineage: Eukaryota; Fungi; Ascomycota; Sordariomycetes; Glomerellales; Glomerellaceae.
UCGAUGAAGAACGCAGCGAAAUGCGAUAAGUAAUGUGAAUUGCAGAAUUCAGUGAAUCAUCGAAUCUUUGAACGCACAUUGCGCCCGCCAGCAUUCUGGCGGGCAUGCCUGUUCGAGCGUCAUUUCAACCCUCAAGCUUCGCUUGGUGUUGGGGCACUACGGUUGACGUAGGCCCUCAAAAGUAGUGGCGGACCCUCCCGGAGCCUCCUUUGCGUAGUAACUAACGUCUCGCAUCGGGAUCCGGAGGGACUCUUGCCGUAAAACCCCCCAACUUUUAACUGGUUGACCUCGGAUCAGGUAGGAAUACCCGCUGAACUUAAGCAUAUCAAUAAGCGGAGGAA